UGCGCAGGCGGCCGAGUGUGUGAGGCGUGAAAGCCCGGGGCUUAACCCCGGAAUUGCACCUCAAACUACACGGCUAGAGCAUUGGAGAGGGUAGCAGAAUUCACGGUGUAGCAGUGAAAUGCGUAGAUAUCGAGAGGAACACCAGUGGCGAAGGCGAGUCCCUGGACAACUCCUGACACUGAGGCACGAAAGCUAGGGGAGCAAACAG
This 208-nucleotide ribosomal RNA is filed under the name uncultured bacterium. RNAcentral describes it as "partial 16S ribosomal RNA". It matches the Rfam family "Bacterial small subunit ribosomal RNA", at positions 568 to 775 of the family's 1533-position model. The record is from RNAcentral.